AUGGACGGGAGCGACGCCGACCCCGGGACGGGAAGCGGCGGCGGGGGGUUCGAGUGGGAUGCGGAUUCCCAGCUCUACUACCACGCCAGUACUGGGUUUUACCAUGACCCUGUCGCUGGCUGGUACUACAGCAGCACAGAUGGUCAGUACUACAUCUAUGAGAAUGGAGAUUACGUGUUAUGGACUUCAGAUGUGGGCAAGGAACCCAAUGUACAGAGUCCAUGUGAUGAAGCUAGCCAAAGUUUCCUGGAAUCCUCUUCAGGGCCGGAACCGGAUAUUCCACAUCAACCGCCAUCAGAAUGGCUGGAGGAAACACUAAUUAACAUGUAUUUAUCAGGAUACUCUAAUAUAGAGGUCAGCACUGAAAAUUUACUACGAGAAUCACAGAUAAGUGAGGAAGGCAAAAGUGAUGAAGUUGAGAAUAAACUCAGUAACGUGGCUUCAGAUAAUGCGUCAGACUCUCUGAAUGAUGCUACAUUACAGCAAAUAGAAGAUAAAAUGGAAAUCGAGAACUUCACAGCUGUGCAUGAAUCUGUAAGGGAAGAAGAAGAGAAAUGGCUUUCUCAGUAUGGUCAAGUAGAGAGAGUAAAUGAUGAGCUGCCAUUGUUUCCGAGCGUUGAUCUUUGGGACUGGCAUAUGGUCACAGAACCUGAUAGCAAAGGUCAGCCCAUGACUAGGCUUGUGGGACGUUUAACUAGGGGUUCUAGUAAGCUUCAUCCUUCCCUGCCUGCUCGUGGUGGCCUUCUAAGAACCGCUCCUGUGCGUGAAGUUCAUCUUGAUCUUGUACGUGUUUCAUCAGGGAAGCUCUACAGGCUAAGGAACCCAAGCAGAAAAUACCUGGCCUCUUUAUCAGCGUAUGACUCUUCGAAUCCAACAAAAGAUUGGGCUUUUCCUGACCUAUAUGCCAACCCUAAUAACAAUUCAGAUAAGCAGUCUACUGCAUGUUGUCUGUCUGAUGUUGCUCAUGAAUCUUCUACCGGGGAAGGUGUUUCAGCUGCUAGUGGCAAGGAGCACAAGAUAAAUACUUAUAGGGACAGGGCUGCUGAGAGAAGAAAGCUACACCGCGGCUUAGGGAUAGGACCUGGGCAGAAGCAAAGUAACGGCAUGAGUUCUGAUGAAUAUGAAGAGGCAAUCGAGGACAUGGACUCCUUGGGAGCUGGACCAGUUGAUAUGAACUUAUGUUCCAGCGGUUUGAAGUCUGCCAAGAGAAUCAUGGAGAACAUGGGCUGGAAAGAAGGAGAGGCUCUUGGUAAAAGCAGACAGGGUAUUGUAGAACCUAUACAGCCUACUUUCAACAAACAUGGUGCUGGUUUGGGAUGGAGUCAAACCCGCUGA
RNAcentral lists this ribosomal RNA (1335 nucleotides) under Triticum aestivum (bread wheat). RNAcentral's name for it is "partial small subunit ribosomal RNA". Lineage: Eukaryota; Viridiplantae; Streptophyta; Magnoliopsida; Poales; Poaceae. The record is from RNAcentral.